This 253-nucleotide ribosomal RNA is filed under the name uncultured bacterium. RNAcentral describes it as "partial 16S ribosomal RNA". It matches the Rfam family "Bacterial small subunit ribosomal RNA", at positions 524 to 776 of the family's 1533-position model. The record is from RNAcentral.
GACGUAGGGCGCGAGCGUUGUCCGGAUUUAUUGGGCGUAAAGAGCUCGUAGGCGGCUUGUCGCGUCGUCCGUGAAAACCUGUGGCUCAACUGCAGGCUUGCGGUCGAUACGGGCAGGCUGGAGUUCGGUAGGGGAGACUGGAAUUCUCGGUGUAGCAGUGAAAUGCGUAGAUAUCGAGAGGAACACCAGUGGCGAAGGCGAGUCUCUGGACGACUCCUGACACUGAGGCACGAAAGCCGGGGGAGCAAACAGG